GCAAGUGUAGUACAGCGGUUAGUAUACAAGUUUUCCAAACUUGGGAUGAGGGUUCGACUCCCUCCACUUGCACCA
This 75-nucleotide transfer RNA is filed under the name Candidatus Saccharimonadota bacterium. RNAcentral describes it as "tRNA-Gly". It matches the Rfam family "tRNA". Rfam says of the family: Transfer RNA (tRNA) molecules are approximately 80 nucleotides in length. Their secondary structure includes four short double-helical elements and three loops (D, anti-codon, and T loops). The record is from RNAcentral. Lineage: Bacteria; Candidatus Saccharimonadota.